UACGUAGGGACCAAGCGUUGUUCGGAUUUACUGGGCGUAAAGGGCGCGUAGGCGGCAUGACAAGUCACUUGUGAAAUCUCCGGGCUUAACUCGGAACGGCCAAGUGAUACUGUCACGCUAGAGUAUUGGAGGGGCAAUCGGAAUUCUUGGUGUAGCGGUGAAAUGCGUAGAUAUCAAGAGGAACACCUGAGGUGAAGACGGGUUGCUGGCCAAAUACUGACGCUGAGGCGCGAAAGCCAGGGGAGCAAACGGG
This 253-nucleotide ribosomal RNA is filed under the name uncultured bacterium. RNAcentral's name for it is "partial 16S ribosomal RNA". It matches the Rfam family "Bacterial small subunit ribosomal RNA", at positions 524 to 776 of the family's 1533-position model. The record is from RNAcentral.